Molecule: unclassified non-coding RNA, 490 nt
Filed under: Hevea brasiliensis (rubber tree)
Lineage: Eukaryota; Viridiplantae; Streptophyta; Magnoliopsida; Malpighiales; Euphorbiaceae
Source: RNAcentral
UGUGUGAUGUUGGGCAGUCUCCAAGUCAUGAUCCAUUCUGAUAAAAGCUACUGAGGGAGUCGAGACAAUGCAGGAAUGCCCAGGUUAGACAAUAAAAUAAAGGAGAUAUUUUUAAGGGCAAAGAAAGAUUACAGAAAGGAGGAUAAGGAGUCCUCUUAAACAAUCUAACUACCUAAUAAGGUUACUUAAGAAGACUUGAAAAGGUAAAGCCCUCCAAAGCACUUGCCCACAAAAAAUCCAAGAAAAACUAUAUUAUCCCACAAUAAAUUAAGAUAAGACUUUGAUUUUUGAAAAUGUCGGCACUCCUCUUCAUUCAAAUGCUUUAUCAGACUGUAAAUACAGCACCACUCCAAAGAACUUUAGCAUCAUUUUGAUGGAAUAAAUCAAGUAUUAUAAUCAGAAUACAAAGGAGAAUACAUUUCACAGGGAAAUUUAUUUCACUAAGAAAUCAGCAGCUGUAAUAUUUGAUAAUUACAGCAAUCAAGCUGAA